ACUCCUGCGGGAGGCAGCAGUGGGGAAUAUUGGACAAUGGGCGCAAGCCUGAUCCAGCCAUGCCGCGUGAGUGAUGAAGGCCCUAGGGUUGUAAAGCUCUUUCACCGGAGAAGAUAAUGACGGUAUCCGGAGAAGAAGCCCCGGCUAACUUCGUGCCAGCAGCCGCGGUAAUACGAAGGGGGCUAGCGUUGUUCGGAAUUACUGGGCGUAAAGCGCACGUAGGCGGAUCGAUCAGUCAGGGGUGAAAUCCCAGGGCUCAACCCUGGAACUGCCUUUGAUACUGUCGAUCUGGAGUAUGGAAGAGGUGAGUGGAAUUCCGAGUGUAGAGGUGAAAUUCGUAGAUAUUCGGAGGAACACCAGUGGCGAAGGCGGCUCACUGGUCCAUUACUGACGCUGAGGUGCGAAAGCGUGGGGAGCAAACAGGAUUAGAUACCCUAGUAGUCCCA
This 446-nucleotide ribosomal RNA is filed under the name uncultured organism. Its description in RNAcentral is "partial 16S ribosomal RNA". It matches the Rfam family "Bacterial small subunit ribosomal RNA", at positions 335 to 797 of the family's 1533-position model. The record is from RNAcentral.